This 174-nucleotide unclassified non-coding RNA is filed under the name uncultured fungus. RNAcentral's name for it is "sequence contains ITS1, 5.8S rRNA gene". Lineage: Eukaryota; Fungi. The record is from RNAcentral.
UUAGGUGCAGCGCCUCCGGGUGCGAUCUUCAACCCUCGUGUCAAACAUACCUCGUUGCUUUGGCGGGCCCGCUCUCGGGCCGCCGGGGGCCUCGUUGCCUCUGGCCAGUGCCCGCCAGAAGCCCUCUUUAAUUCUAUUAUAACCGUAAAGUCUGAGUAUAACGAUCAAUCGUUA